RNAcentral lists this ribosomal RNA (433 nucleotides) under uncultured bacterium. RNAcentral's name for it is "partial 16S ribosomal RNA". It matches the Rfam family "Bacterial small subunit ribosomal RNA", at positions 29 to 507 of the family's 1533-position model. The record is from RNAcentral.
AACGAGCGCUGGCGGCAUGCCUAACACAUGCAAGUCGAACGAGACCUUCGGGUCUAGUGGCGCACGGGUGCGUAACGCGUGGGAACCUGCCCUUAGGUUCGGAAUAACUCCCCGAAAGGGGUGCUAAUACCGGAUAAUGUCUUCGGACCAAAGAUUUCUCGCCUUUGGAUGGGCCCGCGUUGGAUUAGCUAGUUGGUAGGGUAAAAGCCUACCAAGGCGACGAUGCAUAGCUGGUCUGAGAGGAUGAUCAGCCACACUGGGACUGAGACACGGCCCAGACUCCUACGGGAGGCAGCAGUGGGGAAUAUUGGACGAUGGGCGAAAGCCUGAUCCAGCAAUGCCGCGUGAGUGAUGAAGGCCUUAGGGUUGUAAAGCUCUUUUACCCGGGAUGAUAAUGACAGUACCGGGAGAAUAAGCUCCGGCUAACUCCGUG